AUGCAAGUCGACGAGAAAGUUCCCUUCGGGGGGCGAGUACAGUGGCGAACGGGUGAGUAACGCGUGGGAAACCUGCCUUUGAGCGGGGGAUAACACUUCUAACGGGGUGCUAAUACCGCAUAACACCGCUUAAUCGCAUGAUUAAGUGGUCAAAGAUAGCCUCUGAUUUAAGCUAUCACUUGGAGAUGGUCCCGCGUCUGAUUAGCUUGUUGGUGGGGUAAUGGCCUACCAAGGCGACUAUCAGUAGCUGGUCUGAGAGGAUGGUCAGCCACACUGGGACUGAGAUACGGCCCAGACUCCUACGGGAGGCAGCAGUCGAGAAGCUUCGGCAAUGGGGGAAACCCUGACCGAGCGACGCCGCGUGAAGGAUGAAGCCUUUAGGGGUGUAAACUUCUUUUCUAAGGGAAGAAACCUAUGUGGUCCAAUAGGCCACGUAAUUGACGGUACCUUAGGAAUAAGCUCCGGCUAACUCCGUGCCAGCAGCCGCGGUAAUACGGGGGGAGCGAACGUUGUUCGGAUUUAUUGGGCGUAAAGGGCGUGUAGGCGGCUCGGCAAGUGGUGUGUGAAAUCCUCUGGCUCAACCAGAGAACUGCGCCCCAAACUGCCGAGCUUGAGAGUAGUAGAGGUAACUGGAAUUCCUGGUGUAGCGGUGAAAUGCGUAGAUAUCAGGAGGAACACCAUUGGCGAAGGCGAGUUACUGGGCUAUUUCUGACGCUGAGGCGCGAAAGCUAGGGGAGCGAACGGGAUUAGAUACCCCGGUAGUCCUAGCUGUAA
RNAcentral lists this ribosomal RNA (774 nucleotides) under uncultured bacterium. RNAcentral's name for it is "bacterial SSU rRNA". It matches the Rfam family "Bacterial small subunit ribosomal RNA", at positions 55 to 805 of the family's 1533-position model. The record is from RNAcentral.